GAAAUGCGAUAAGUAAUGUGAAUUGCUGAAUUCAGUGAAUCAUCGAAUCUUUGAACGCACAUUGCGCCCGCCAGCAUUCUGGCGGGCAUGCCUGUUCGAGCGUCAUUUCAACCCUCGAGCCCCCCCGGGGGCCUCGGUGUUGGGGGACGGCACACCAGCCGCCCCCGAAAUGCAGUGGCGACCCCGCCGCAGCCUCCCCUGCGUAGUAGCACACACCUCGCACCGGAGCGCGGAGGCGGUCACGCCGUAAAACGCCCAACUUUCUUAGAGUUGACCUCGGAUCAGGUAGGAAUACCCGCUGAACUUAAGC
RNAcentral lists this unclassified non-coding RNA (310 nucleotides) under plant metagenome. RNAcentral's name for it is "partial contains 5.8S ribosomal RNA, internal transcribed spacer 2, and large subunit ribosomal RNA". The stretch from base 1 to 105 matches the Rfam family "5.8S ribosomal RNA", at positions 50 to 154 of the family's 154-position model. The record is from RNAcentral.